GAAAAUGAUGGUUCAACUCCUUCCCUUAUUA
This 31-nucleotide transfer RNA is filed under the name Lampornis amethystinus. Its description in RNAcentral is "partial tRNA-Met". The record is from RNAcentral. Lineage: Eukaryota; Metazoa; Chordata; Aves; Apodiformes; Trochilidae.